Molecule: ribosomal RNA, 405 nt
Filed under: uncultured bacterium
Lineage: Bacteria
Description: bacterial SSU rRNA
Rfam family: Bacterial small subunit ribosomal RNA
Source: RNAcentral
CAGCCGCCGCGGUAAUUCGGAGGAUGCGAGCGUUAUCCGGAUUUAUUGGGUUUAAAGGGUGCGUAGGCGGAUUAAUAAGUCAGUGGUGAAAACCUUCAGCUUAACUGGAGAACUGCCAUUGAUACUGUUAGUCUUGAGUACGGUCAAGGUAGGCGGAAUGUGUAAUGUAGCGGUGAAAUGCUUAGAUAUUACACAGAACACCGAUUGCGAAGGCAGCUUACUGGGCCAUUACUGACGCUGAUGCACGAAAGCGUGGGGAGCGAACAGGAUUAGAUACCCUGGUAGUCCACGCCGUAAACGAUGAUCACUCGCUGUUAGCGAUACACAGUUAGCGGCUAAGCAAAAGCAUUAAGUGAUCCACCUGGGGAGUACGGCCGCAAGGCUGAAACUCAAAGGAAUUGACGG